AACGAACGCUGGCGGCAUGCCUAACACAUGCAAGUCGAACGAGACCUUCGGGUCUAGUGGCGCACGGGUGCGUAACGCGUGGGAACCUGCCCUUAGGUUCGGAAUAACUCCCCGAAAGGGGUGCUAAUACCGGAUAAUGUCUUCGGACCAAAGAUUUAUCGCCUUUGGAUGGGCCCGCGUUGGAUUAGCUAGUUGGUAGGGUAAAAGCCUACCAAGGCGACGAUCCAUAGCUGGUCUGAGAGGAUGAUCAGCCACACUGGGACUGAGACACGGCCCAGACUCCUACGGGAGGCAGCAGUGGGGAAUAUUGGACAAUGGGCGAAAGCCUGAUCCAGCAAUGCCGCGUGAGUGAUGAAGGCCUUAGGGUUGUAAAGCUCUUUUACCCGGGAUGAUAAUGACAGUACCGGGAGAAUAAGCUCCAGCUAACCCCGUG
RNAcentral lists this ribosomal RNA (433 nucleotides) under uncultured bacterium. RNAcentral describes it as "partial 16S ribosomal RNA". It matches the Rfam family "Bacterial small subunit ribosomal RNA", at positions 29 to 507 of the family's 1533-position model. The record is from RNAcentral.